GCGCCUGUAGCUCAGUGGAUUAGAGCACUUGCCUACGAAGCAAGGGGUCGCAGGUUCGAAUCCUGCCAGGCGCA
Molecule: transfer RNA, 74 nt
Filed under: Deltaproteobacteria bacterium
Lineage: Bacteria; Pseudomonadati; Myxococcota; Myxococcia
Description: tRNA-Arg
Rfam family: tRNA
About the family: Transfer RNA (tRNA) molecules are approximately 80 nucleotides in length. Their secondary structure includes four short double-helical elements and three loops (D, anti-codon, and T loops). Further hydrogen bonds mediate the characteristic L-shaped molecular structure. tRNAs have two regions of fundamental functional importance: the anti-codon, which is responsible for specific mRNA codon recognition, and the 3' end, to which the tRNAs corresponding amino acid is attached (by aminoacyl-tRNA synthetases). tRNAs cope with the degeneracy of the genetic code in two manners: having more than one tRNA (with a specific anti-codon) for a particular amino acid; and 'wobble' base-pairing, i.e. permitting non-standard base-pairing at the 3rd anti-codon position.
Source: RNAcentral